CGAGCGUCGCUAAUCGAACGUUUAUCCAGCCAACUUCGUUCUGAAGUGUUAUUAUAUUUUGAGAGUUGGCAUUUCAUGGCUUGUUUAUAAGAAAGAUUCGGUCGAUUCUCGUGCGGUUUGUGCUCUUCGUGCGUGUGAUGAUAAAGACGAAAAAAGUACUUUCGACAUAUUUUACUUUUUUAUUAGAAGAAAAGAUAAGAAUGCUGUUCAGGCAAGAAAAAAGUUACGCAAAGUUUGUAGAAAAGGUGUAUCAAUAGUGCCAAAACUAGUUUUUAAAAUUUCGACGUUAAAGCCGCGUACGCCACGUUCUACAAGAUCAGUCGAAGCUAAAAUGGACAUUGAAGCAAACCGAUGAAGAUUGAAUUUGUCGAAUUCGACUGUUCGUGAUCACGUGAAACAAUUUGGUGUUUCAUCGUCAUGAAAAAAAACGAAAUUAUUUUCCGAACAACCCAAUAUAUUGAUUCGAGUGAAAUGAUGAUCGUUUAUGAAUGAAAAAGAUAGAUAGAUUGAUGGUGUUCUUUUCUUGAUCUUAUCAACGAGCAAGCGUUGUUUAAUUAUUAAUCUGAUCUUGGCCGGGUUUAUAGGAUGAUGGGCUGAGAUUAAGAGAAGUAGUUCAAAGCUAGAAUCGAUGGUAAAAAUUUAUUUAACUUCUUAUUGAGUUUUUAUUGAGUUUGCUCUGGGUUAAUAUCUUUUCAACUCUCUUCGUAAUAACACUUUGAAACCAGUAUUUUAACUGUCGAAUAAGAUAAAAUAUUACUCGGUAUUUCGAGUUUCUUUUUUUUUUAUUAUUUUUAUUAUUAUUAAAAUUCUGCGGUUCGUUUUAUUUGUUAUCGUUGAAAUAAUUUUAAUUUUGAAACAUGCGUCCAUUCUCGAAGAGGUCAAUAAACAACGAUCGUCAAAUAAAUUCUUCGCAAUUCCAUAUUGACGUGAAACAUGAAAAAAAAAAAUCAUCAAAAGAGAGUAUCGAGGAAAUCAUUUUUUUUCCUCUCUAUGAAAAAGAUUAUUGAGCCGUUCGAAAAUGUUCUGGUAUCGAAUGGCUUCAGCGUAAGAAAACGUGGAAGAAGAAAAAGUGGUGGAAAAAGUCGGUCGAGCUUUGACCCGGCGAGAAAAUUGUCGUGCAAGGGUUUCUCGAUAAGGAAUAAAAUAACGCGUGUGCGUCGAGUUGAGUUCGCAUGCGACGCGCAAUAAGUCUUCCCGAACGACAAAAUCGCGAGCGUGUCGCGAGAAAAUACCGCGUGAACGAUAAAAAGAUCGAGAAUACGACGUUCUCUCGAUAAAUAUUUCCUUUCCCCUCCCCUCCCAUCUCCUUCCUCUCCGUAAUGUUUUCGAAGCCCCGAAUCGAGAUCCUGGAAUCUUUGUAAAAAGAAAAAAAAAAAAAAACGAAUUGAGAAAAAUUGGGAUUCGUUUCAAACGCUUAAUUUAAUAACAAUCGAAAAAAGCAAUAAAACAUUCAUCGAACGAAUAACAGUCUUGGAAUAACGAUAACGAAUAUGAUUUUACGGUCGGACCUUUUAAUUUGCGGUGUAACACGCGAACACGCCCACCAUCGGUACUCCCCGAUGAUCGAUCAUCGAGAAUAAAUAUUUAUUAGUCGAAAGGUUCACCGAAAUUUAAAUAAUUGAAAAAUAAACAAUUUCCAAUUUCAAUCCCUCCCCGAUACCUCUCAAUUUCAAUCGAAACCGAAUUAAAUCGAUAGUUUGUAUUUUUCUGUGCCCGUAUGUAUGCAACGAUUAGUACACAGUAAUUAUAUAGAAUAAAAAAUUUGUUUCUACGAUACAGACACGUCACAAAACACUAUUCGUCGCUAAUUAAGAGGACCAUUUAUUUGAUAAGAUCGCCCAUUUUGAACGAGAAAUCGUCGUAAUACUGAAAAGGUUAAAGUCGGAGUGAAUCCUGAAUCGUUUAAUGGCGAAACGAAUACGAACUGGUGACAACGAAUAAUAUUUGAAUUACGAAGAAGAAGGAAAAAGGACGAUCGGUCAUUGGAGAGAUGGAAACCGAAAAUUGUUCGAUGAAGCGAAACGAGGGAACGAAGAGGGAUCAAAAAAGAAGAAAAAACGGCGGAGGGAAGGGUGAAAACGGCAAAGAAAAAGCGCGGGAAAUUCGAUUGGCAAUCGAGCCGGUAUCGGAGAAACGAGGAUUUUCCAAGUGGUGGCCGUCGACAAUUACGCACGGCCCAUUUAAAUGUAAUUCGACGCUAUUGGAUAGAGCCGAGUCGAACCGGAAAUAACGUCUCGACCGAUUGUUAUCGCGCCACGACGAUCGCCAUGUGAAUCAAAUUAGAUUUCGAGAAGCUUGGAAAAAAUGAGAUAAAUAACGAGUGGAUAUUCGUCGUCGAAGAGGAUGUCAAAGAAACAACAAUAUGGAAAUAAAUUACGUCGAAUACGAAUUUUAUUUUUGACUACGACUGGACGUUUUUGUUAAUAUUAUUAUUAUUUUCUAAUUCUAAUUUCAACAAUUUGUGCCUUUUUAAUUUUUAAAAAUUUUUUUUUCAUAUUUUUAGAUAAAUAAACGAAUAGAUAUUCGUCGUCGAAGAGGAUGUCAAAGAAACAACAAUAUGGAAAUAAAUUACAUCGAAUACGAAUUUUAUUUUUGACUACGACUGGACGUUUUUGUUAUUAUUAUUAUUAUUUUAUAAUUCUAAUUUCAACAAUUUGUGCCUUUUUAAUUUUAAAAAAUUUUUUUUUUCAUAUUUUUAGAUAAAUAACGAGUGGAUAUUCGUCGUCGAAGAGGAUGUCAAAGAAACAACAAUAUGGAAAUAAAUUACAUCGAAUACGAAUUUUAUUUUUGACUACGAUUGGACGUUUUUAUUAUUAUUAUUUUCUAAUUCUAAUUUCAACAAUUUGUGCCUUUUUAAUUUUUUAAUUUUUUUUUUCAUAUUUUUAGAUAAAUAAACGAGUGGAUAUUCGUCGUCGAAGAGGAUGUCAAAGAAACAACAAUAUGGAAAUAAAUUACAUCGAAUACGAAUUUUAUAUUUGAUUACGAUUGGACGUUUUUAUUAUUAUUAUUUUCUAAUUCUAAUUUCAACAAUUUGUGCCUUUUUAAUUUUUAAAAAAUUUUUUUUUCAUAUUUUUAGAUAAAUAAAGAGUGGAUAUUCGUCGUCGAAGAGGAUGCCAAAGAAACAACAAUAUGGAAAUAAAUUAUAUCGGGAAUAACGAGGCACGGAUUUUAUCUUUGACCACGACUGGACGAUAUCAAUUUGCGGAAAGAGAGAGAGAGAGAGAGAGAUGUAUCAGUUCCAAGGAAAUAAAUUCUUGGGAAAUAUUUGUCCUUCGAGGGAAAGAGA
This is a long non-coding RNA of Apis cerana (Asiatic honeybee), 3286 nucleotides long. RefSeq lists it as uncharacterized. The record is from RefSeq and is a predicted model, not a curated record. NCBI's taxonomy places the organism in Eukaryota, Metazoa, Arthropoda, Insecta, Hymenoptera, Apidae.